GGUGAAGAGAAGCUUGCUUCUUGGAUCAGUGGCGAACGGGUGAGUAACACGUGAGCAAUCUGCCCUUGACUCUGGGAUAAGCGUUGGAAACGACGUCUAAUACCGGAUACGACCCUCGGAGGCAUCUCCUGGGGGUGGAAAGAAUUUUGGUCAAGGAUGAGCUCGCGGCCUAUCAGCUAGUUGGUGAGGUAAUGGCUCACCAAGGCGACGACGGGUAGCCGGCCUGAGAGGGUGACCGGCCACACUGGGACUGAGACACGGCCCAGACUCCUACGGGAGGCAGCAGUGGGGAAUAUUGCACAAUGGGCGAAAGCCUGAUGCAGCAACGCCGCGUGAGGGACGAAGGCCUUCGGGUUGUAAACCUCUUUUAGUAGGGAAGAAGCGAAAGUGACGGUACCUGCAGAAAAAGCACCGGCUAACUACGUGCCAGCAGCCGCGGUAAUACGUAGGGUGCAAGCGUUGUCCGGAAUUAUUGGGCGUAAAGAGCUCGUAGGCGGUUUGUCGCGUCUGCUGUGAAAACCCGAGGCUCAACCUCGGGCCUGCAGUGGGUACGGGCAGACUAGAGUGCGGUAGGGGAGAUUGGAAUUCCUGGUGUAGCGGUGGAAUGCGCAGAUAUCAGGAGGAACACCAAUGGCGAAGGCAGAUCUCUGGGCCGUAACUGACGCUGAGGAGCGAAAGCAUGGGGAGCGAACAGGAUUAGAUACCCUGGUAGUCCAUGCCGUAAACGUUGGGAACUAGAUGUGGGGACCAUUCCACGGUCUCCGUGUCGCAGCUAACGCAUUAAGUUCCCCGCCUGGGGAGUACGGCCGCAAGGCUAAAACUCAAAGGAAUUGACGGGGGCCCGCACAAGCGGCGGAGCAUGCGGAUUAAUUCGAUGCAACGCGAAGAACCUUACCAAGGCUUGACAUAUAGAGGAAACGGCUGGAAACAGUCGCCCCGCAAGGUCUCUAUACAGGUGGUGCAUGGUUGUCGUCAGCUCGUGUCGUGAGAUGUUGGGUUAAGUCCCGCAACGAGCGCAACCCUCGUCCUAUGUUGCCAGCACGUAAUGGUGGGAACUCAUGGGAUACUGCCGGGGUCAACUCGGAGGAAGGUGGGGAUGACGUCAAAUCAUCAUGCCCCUUAUGUCUUGGGCUUCACGCAUGCUACAAUGGCCGGUACAAAGGGCUGCAAUACCGUAAGGUGGAGCGAAUCCCAAAAAGCCGGUCUCAGUUCGGAUUGAGGUCUGCAACUCGACCUCAUGAAGUCGGAGUCGCUAGUAAUCGCAGAUCAGCAACGCUGCGGUGAAUACGUUCCCGGGCCUUGUACACACCGCCCGUCAAGUCAUGAAAGUCGGUAACACCCGAAGCCAGUGGCCUAACCGCAAGGAAGGAGC
This 1372-nucleotide ribosomal RNA is filed under the name Cryobacterium psychrotolerans. RNAcentral describes it as "bacterial SSU rRNA". It matches the Rfam family "Bacterial small subunit ribosomal RNA". Lineage: Bacteria; Bacillati; Actinomycetota; Actinomycetes; Micrococcales; Microbacteriaceae. The record is from RNAcentral.